GAUGAACGCUGGCGGCGUGCCUAAUACAUGCAAGUCGAGCGAACGGACGAGAAGCUUGCUUUUCUGAUGUUAGCGGCGGACGGGUGAGUAACACGUGGAUAACCUACCUAUAAGACUGGGAUAACUUCGGGAAACCGGAGCUAAUACCGGAUAAUAUUUUGAACCGCAUGGUUCAAAAGUGAAAGACGGUCUUGCUGUCACUUAUAGAUGGAUCCGCGCUGCAUUAGCUAGUUGGUAAGGUAACGGCUUACCAAGGCAACGAUGCAUAGCCGACCUGAGAGGGUGAUCGGCCACGCUAGAACUGAGACACGGUCCAGACUCCUACGGGAGGCAGCAGUAGGGAAUCUUCCGCCAUGGGCGAAAGCCUGACGGAGCAACGCCGCGUGAGUGAUGAAGGUCUUCGGAUCGUAGAACUCUGUUAUUAGGGAAGAACAUAUGUGUAAGUAACUGUGCACAUCUUGACGGUACCUAAUCAGAAAGCCACGGCUAACUACGUG
RNAcentral lists this ribosomal RNA (497 nucleotides) under uncultured bacterium. RNAcentral's name for it is "partial 16S ribosomal RNA". It matches the Rfam family "Bacterial small subunit ribosomal RNA", at positions 28 to 507 of the family's 1533-position model. The record is from RNAcentral.